CUGGGAUCAGGAAAAAUCCUCAGCUGGAGCAGUAGAGAGAACAAGAGAGCAUUACAGCCUGGGAAAGGAACAGAGAUUUAAUAACACUCAUUGCUUGCACAGCAUUAAGGGUCCUACAUCUCUUGAAAUGACAACUUGAGGCAAAGCUAACAUCCCUGCUGUCUGAAGUGUUGUUCACACCAUCUCAAGUAGAGGAUAACCAAGGUAUAAAGUGGCUUGGCUCUGAAAGUCUUGAAAAAAAGUCAUAGAAAAUCCCUAUGUUUUGCAAAUUUGAUGCAUUCAGAGGCACAUGUGCACAC
Long non-coding RNA from Lagopus muta (rock ptarmigan), 299 nucleotides. RefSeq lists it as uncharacterized. The record is from RefSeq and is a predicted model, not a curated record. NCBI's taxonomy places the organism in Eukaryota, Metazoa, Chordata, Aves, Galliformes, Phasianidae. The transcript is spliced from 3 exons.